UUUAAGUGCAACAAUGAGUUUCCACGUCUAAUUUUAGUCGUCCAUCUUAUUUGAAAUUUUUUGUAGUUAGUAUUUUUGUUGUUAUGAGAUGAUAAAAUAUGAAUAAUACUUUAUGCAAGACUUGUGUUUUUAAUUUCUUUUAAAAAAAUUUAAAUAAGACGGAUGAAUAAAGUUGGGCACGGAAACUCAUGGCUAUAUUUAAA
Molecule: non-coding RNA, 203 nt
Organism: Oryza glaberrima (African rice)
Lineage: Eukaryota; Viridiplantae; Streptophyta; Magnoliopsida; Poales; Poaceae
Source: Rfam